CUGCCUUGUCAGACCUGAAGAUGCAGUGUCCAAGAUAUUCAGUGAACUGUGUGGAUUCAGACAGCAACGCUUCAGUUAACUGUGUAGAUCAUGUACUGUAUUGUUAAUCACCAGUUAUUGUUUCCUUUCACUGCGUAGUCGUGCCGGUUACUACUACUGUUCCUACAUAAUCACAAGCGUGGAUGGAUGAUUAUCUCAGAUCAGAUGUUGCUAGAUUACUUUCUUAGAUUGCUUUUGUCACCAAGCCACACAGAUCAUCUAGUUAGAUAGAAUCCGCUAUGCUAGGGUGAUGAAUGAACGAACAAACUAUAAUAGGAACAUGGGCACCAGGUUUUAGAGGGCUUGUGAUUCUGUGGUUGCAGCAAGCCCACCUUGUACGCCCGACGAGUUUAUCCUGUGUAUUUUGUCUUGCUAGACGAGUUAUCCAGCAAUACUAGUGCAUAGUACAAAAUUAUCAUAGAUCCUGGCUGUAACCUGCUUUUGUGCUUGUGACUUUGGCCUGCAUGAUUUUGUGGGGAUUUGGUACCAGACUAGAGGUAGAGGCUGACGAUUUCUUGUUGUUUCAGUCAAGUGCUUGAUAGAUAGCUGUCUCAUAUGCAUUUUCCGUUCCUAAUGGUGCUUUUUCAUUUCCUUGCCAGGCCAAAUAAAGGAUGUUGUUCUCGGUGGAGUUGCGCUUGAGCAUGAGUAGAGAGAGAAAUUUAAUCAAAUCCAAUAGCUUCACUCGUGUCUGCCACUGCUCAUUGUCGUGUUGACAGAGCGUUCACCCGAUGGCGGAAUACCACGCCGCAGCGUGGGCAGUCGGCGGUUGCGCUAUAUACGUGAGUGACAAACCCGAAAACCAUGACUUCGAUCUGCUGAGGAAGCUUGUGUUUCCUGACGGAUCAAUCCUGCGAGCCAAACUGCCCGGGAGACAAACUGGACUACCGUUGUCGCGGAAAUUCCGUGCGAUGGAAGCUUCUAGAGCCUGCUGGUACUUCCUAGCCAGAAGCCCCACGAGCUCGACGUCCAGCUCUACAACCACCAUCCCACGCACAAGCAGGUGCUCUGCUCUUGCUCACGUCUAGCACCGUCUCUGGUGCGAUGGUGCUUCUUGAGGCGACCACAAGCUCUCCGCUGUGAGUAGACGUCAACGAUGCCUACUUGCUUGGCUGCUACAGUGAUGCAUGCGCCGGUCAAGCAAGCACACAUGCAUAUACGUACAUGUUAGGAUAGUAGCAGAUGUGCCAUAAUUCCUGUGUAAGGAAAUGUAUUCCUGAGAUGAUUUUGUUAUGUUAUCUAAACCUGGGAGAUGUCUUAUGUGAUGUGAUAUGAUGGAUGAUCUGAAUUCGACAUUGAGUUUCCCUAAUUUGAAUAUGAAACAAUGUCGGAUGCGUGUGUGUAACUGGAUUAAA
Aegilops tauschii subsp. strangulata is the source of this 1391-nucleotide non-coding RNA. The record is from RefSeq and is a predicted model, not a curated record. Lineage: Eukaryota; Viridiplantae; Streptophyta; Magnoliopsida; Poales; Poaceae.